Molecule: ribosomal RNA, 825 nt
Filed under: marine metagenome
Description: bacterial SSU rRNA
Rfam family: Bacterial small subunit ribosomal RNA
Source: RNAcentral
AGGCUUAACACAUGCAAGUCGUGCGAGAAAGUAUCUUAGGAUAUGAGUAGAGCGGCGGACGGGUGAGUAACGCGUAGGAAUCUACCUAGUAGAAGGGGAUAGCCCGGGGAAACCCGGAUUAAUACCGUAUACCUCCUUCGGGAGAAAGAAGGCCUCUCUUUGAAGCUUUCGCUAUUAGAUGAGCCUGCGUAAGAUUAGCUUGUUGGUGAGGUAAAGGCUCACCAAGGCUACGAUCUUUAGCUGGUCUGAGAGGACGAUCAGCCACAUUGGGACUGAGACACGGCCCAGACUCCUACGGGAGGCAGCAGUGGGGAAUAUUGGACAAUGGGCGCAAGCCUGAUCCAGCCAUACCGCGUGUGUGAAGAAGGCCUUCGGGUUGUAAAGCACUUUAAGCAGGGAGAAAAAGUUAUAAGUUAAUACCUUAUAACCGUGAUGUUACCUGCAGAAUAAGCACCGGCUAAUUCCGUGCCAGCAGCCGCGGUAAUACGGAAGGUGCAAGCGUUAAUCGGAAUUACUGGGCGUAAAGCGCGCGUAGGUGGUUUGUUAAGUUGGAUGUGAAAGCCCUGGGCUCAACCUAGGAACUGCAUCCAAAACUAACUCACUAGAGUACGAUAGAGGGAGGUAGAAUUCAUAGUGUAGCGGUGGAAUGCGUAGAUAUUAUGAAGAAUACCAGUGGCGAAGGCGGCCUCCUGGAUCUGUACUGACACUGAGGUGCGAAAGCGUGGGUAGCGAACAGGAUUAGAUACCCUGGUAGUCCACGCCGUAAACGAUGACAACUAGCUGUUGGGAGACAAUGUCUCUCAGUGGCGCAGCUAACGUUUUAAG